Molecule: ribosomal RNA, 403 nt
Filed under: uncultured bacterium
Lineage: Bacteria
Description: bacterial SSU rRNA
Rfam family: Bacterial small subunit ribosomal RNA
Source: RNAcentral
UGGGGAAUAUUGGACAAUGGGCGCAAGCCUGAUCCAGCCAUGCCGCGUGAGUGACGAAGGCCCUAGGGUUGUAAAGCUCUUUUGUGCGGGAAGAUAAUGACGGUACCGCAAGAAUAAGCCCCGGCUAACUUCGUGCCAGCAGCCGCGGUAAUACGAAGGGGGGCUAGCGUUGCUCGGAAUCACUGGGCGUAAAGGGUGCGUAGGCGGGUCUUUAAGUCAGGGGUGAAAUCCUGGAGCUCAACUCCAGAACUGCCUUUGAUACUGAGGAUCUUGAGUUCGGGAGAGGUGAGUGGAACUGCGAGUGUAGAGGUGAAAUUCGUAGAUAUUCGCAAGAACACCAGUGCCGAAGGCGGCUCACUGGCCCGAUACUGACGCUGAGGCACGAGAGCGUGGGGAGCAAACA